This 253-nucleotide ribosomal RNA is filed under the name uncultured bacterium. RNAcentral's name for it is "partial 16S ribosomal RNA". It matches the Rfam family "Bacterial small subunit ribosomal RNA", at positions 524 to 776 of the family's 1533-position model. The record is from RNAcentral.
UACGUAGGGUGCGAGCGUUAAUCGGAAUUACUGGGCGUAAAGCGUGCGCAGGCGGUUUUGUAAGCCGGAUGUGAAAUCCCCGGGCUUAACCUGGGAAUGGCAUUUGGGACUGCAAGGCUCGAGUGCGGCAGAGGAGACUGGAAUUCCUGGUGUAGCGGUGAAAUGCGCAGAUAUCAGGAGGAACACCGGUGGCGAAGGCGGCUUUCGGGGCCUUACCUGACGCUGAGGAGCGAAAGCUGGGGGAGCGAACGGG